AGCAACCGGAAGUACGUCUGGUGUUGUGAUUGCAUACCUUUGGGUGUUUAUGAUUGUGAACAUCGUAUUGGAAGUAUAUCUGUUAACGAAAAGAAGGGAAUCACGUAUGUUCGUAACACAGUAAAAAUAAAUGUGUCAUUCGAUAAAAAAAAGUCUUAUGUUGCCGUUAAUGUUGAUUAAGUGUGAUUUCUCUUUCCUUAUGCAGAUACAUCAAUUUAACAUAAUCAAUAUGCGGAAUAAUGAAUGUUUAUGAUGUAUGCAACAGGAGUUGGUUGAUACGACAAAAUUAAAUCCAGAAGAACGUAGAUUUUAAUAUUAAUAAGAGAUACGUAUACAAUAUCACCAGGAACAUAUGGAAAUACAUCUAUAUUGAUUGAUUGUUUUGUAAUGUGAUUUGAGUUUUGGUUACACAGCAUAUCUUGCUAGUGUAUAUACGCAAUUAACACUUCCUGUACUUGUAACUCAACUGAAAAGGACGUUCUGCAGACAUCGAAAUUGUCAAUCAAGGAGGGAGGGAGUCGCUGACACCGGAAGGGCUUCGACAGGUAUUUCUACGCUAUUAGCACACUUACAUAUUACGACAUCUUCGUUAAUGAUAUUCACUUUUGUUUCUGUAAUGACCAAGUAAGGAUAAUGGAGCGGUUAUUUAAACAUAUCGAUACGUUUCUAUUAUUAUCACCUUCAAGAAUUGUAAACAUAGACACAAUACGAAAGUUCUUCGAUAUUUCGUAGUUAAAUGGCAAUCGGGUUAAAGAUAUUUGCAAAACCUCAAUGAAAUACCAUCAUUCAAAAGUGUUUGAUCAAAAUGUCAUGUAAACCUGUUUUUUUCCAAUCGGAGUAAGAAUAACCAUAUAACUAUAGAAGGAUUAUAAUCGUUAUUACUUUUGUAAUGUCAGCUUUGUCAAAUGAAAAUAAAAGUUGCAAUGGGAACAAUUAAAGAUAUGUAAAAUGUUUUAAUAUUUUUGAGAUCCAGCCGAUGUUGCAAAGCCACGGUACAUUAAAUGCUAUCAUGAAUAUAUAAUCGUGACGAAAAUUAACAUAUUUCCUACCUGGAUAUUCUAAAAAUAUAUUCAUAUAUAAUUUGGUUAAGCAUAUGAUAGAAAGAACCCCUAUGUGAUCUUCUUUAAUUUUUGUCAAAUUGAUAUAUGGAACAUGACAGUUGCUACAUAUCACAUCAAGAUAAGCCUUUUUGAUUAGUUUAUUAUUCCUCUUUAUUAUUCCUCAUCCAUGUAAAUGAAUUAUCGUUGUACAUUAUUUUCCUUAUCACAUAUUCCUUCAUUGACGUAUGAAUUGCCAAAAUACUAUUUGCUACUACCAUAGCAUCGUCAGGACCACCACGAAAGGAGGCUUGACUAUGUGGUUCCAGAUAUCUGUUUCUCUUUACUGUGGACAACAGAAGAAACAUAAUAUUAUCAGCUGCCCCUAUUGUUACAGCAAAGAUCCCUGUCUUUUCUGAUUAUGUAUAAUUUGCUAUUAUUUCUGCUUCAAUCCCGAUAUUUUUUAUAUUUAUAGCUGGUGACACGAUCUCUUAAUGUAAAUGUUAUGGUAUUAAGUAGACAGAUAAAAGAUAACAUUUUGUUGAAUUUGUUUGCUGUGUAAUUUACAUAAAUUGGUAAGGUGUAAUUUGAUAGUCAGUUGAUUGAUUCGUUAUACUUUUCUGUUUAUCCAUACAGGAAACGAACAGUUGAUUGCUUUCAAGUUUGUGUUAGGACCCAACAUUGUUUUCGUGAAAAACAUAUAAAAAACAUCAAAUAAAAGUUCAAAUACUGAUAUGUUUUAUAUAACGUUCGUCGUUAUCAUAAUCGAGUUCCGUUGAUAAGAUGUAAGAAAAGUUGUUAUUGAAUAUCUCGAAAUGUAUUAUUUAUUGAUAUUUCUGCUCCUUCCAUUGCAUUUAUUAAAAAAUUGUUACGCGGAAUUCACGCAUUAGCUCGCUAUCUAAAAAACAUACCUUUAAAAAACAAACAAAACAAUGUCAUGGUUACUUUUUUCAGUUAAAAAAAGUCUUAAUAUUGCAAAUCAUAAUGUAGAUCAGUGCUAGAAUUAAAAAAUACUACUUAGACCAAUUCGGGCUCAUUAUAUGUAUAUCAAAUAGCUCCAUACUUAUCACCGUGUAAUUUGUUUAUGGGACUCAGUUGAAUUAACACAAGUGGUAAAUAAUUGGUUGUAGAUAAGCCUUACAGCCCGCCGAACUGAAAGCUUGAACUGCAUGUCAAAAUGUUGGUAAUGCUUCGAAAUUCCAAAAUUUACAACUUGAAUAAAUAUUCUUAAACUUCAGUAACGAGUCAACCUUGUUGACUGAUUUUUUGUAAGGUAAGAAAGGUCUGAAUUCAGGCUUAACUGUCAUAAAGGCAAUGUCCUGAUAAAUUACCGCCUUGGUGUAGUUUAUCGUUAAAUAUCUGUAUCAAGAGAAAUUGUGUAAACUACUAGGCGACUAAUAUAUCUAUAUCUGUUAGUAAAUUAUCACGAUUCUUUCAGGCUUAACCGUAAUUUAUUUUUAUUUUCAUUUUGUGAAGAGUUGUCUCCCAUGGGUUGCUGUAGCAUAUGCGUCAUUGGAAAAAAAAGAAUUUCACAAAAUUGAAAAAGACAUUUAAGAUAUUUAUUGCUAAUACAUGUAUUGUAGAGGAUUCUUAAACGAAAUAUAAAAAUAUUCGUGAAUUAUUUCUUCAAAAAUGUGUUCAUCGAUAAAAUUAUCCAGAUGUAAGGAGUAAUUUUGAACAUUAACCCUUACAAGGUAGUUUUAAGCGCAUCACGGUAUGUACUUUGUUAGGCUCUAGAAAUUGUAGAUAUACUCCUAUAGUAAGAUAUCAUAAAAAAAUAUUAUUGCUUAAAUGUUAAUCAGAACAAAUAUAUAUGUAUGAUGCAAAUAUAUAAAGAAGAAAUUGCGACUGUUCUGACAUUGAAAUUUGUCCAGGUUUGAUCAAGACACAAAAACAUGAAACAAUAACAUAAAAAAGUAUGAAAAGUUUCUGCUGAAUUUGUGUGCUGACGUGAAAGCAUAUUCCUUCGGCUGGCUUGGGAUAGAUGACUCAUCCAUCUCAAGACACUUCGGCUGUCUUAGAGGCAAAGGCUUAUCCAUCUCUAGACACUUCUGGUGGCUAGGGAUCAAGGUUACUUCAUAAACCCGACUCAAGUCACUUUGGUCGGCUAGGGAUCAAAGGCUCUUCAUAAAUCCGACUCAAGACACUUCGGCUGACUAGGGAUCAAAUAUUCAUCCAUCUCAAGACGCUUCGGCCGGCUAGGGAUCAAAGGCUUUUCAUAAAUCCGACUCAAGACGCUUCGGCUGGCUAGAGAUCAAAGAUUCGUCCAUCUCAAAAGUCUUCGGCUGGCUAGGGAUCAAAGGCUCUUCAUGAAUUCAACUCAAGACACUUCGCUUCAAUUGUAAAGAUCAUAAAUGCAUUGGAGAACGUACCCGCAAUUUAAACAUUAAUUCAUUAAUUACUUUGGUACA
Mizuhopecten yessoensis (Yesso scallop) is the source of this 3448-nucleotide long non-coding RNA. RefSeq lists it as uncharacterized. The record is from RefSeq and is a predicted model, not a curated record. Lineage: Eukaryota; Metazoa; Mollusca; Bivalvia; Pectinida; Pectinidae. The transcript is spliced from 2 exons.